CCUACGGGUGGCUGCAGUGGGGAAUAUUGCACAAUGGGCGCAAGCCUGAUGCAGCCAUGCCGCGUGUGUGAAGAAGGCCUUCGGGUUGUAAAGCACUUUCAGCGGGGAGGAAGGCGUUAAGGUUAAUAACCUUGGCGAUUGACGUUACCCGCAGAAGAAGCACCGGCUAACUCCGUGCCAGCAGCCGCGGUAAUACGGAGGGUGCAAGCGUUAAUCGGAAUUACUGGGCGUAAAGCGCACGCAGGCGGUCUGUCGAGUCGGAUGUGAAAUCCCCGGGCUCAACCUGGGAACUGCAUUCGAAACUGGCAGGCUAGAGUCUUGUAGAGCGGGGUAGAAUUCCAGGUGUAGCGGUGAAAUGCGUAGAGAUCUGGAGGAAUACCGGUGGCGAAGGCGGCCCCCUGGACAAAGACUGACGCUCAGGUGCGAAAGCGUGGGGAGCAAACAGGAUUAGAUACCCCUGUAGUC
Molecule: ribosomal RNA, 465 nt
Filed under: uncultured Klebsiella sp.
Lineage: Bacteria; Pseudomonadati; Pseudomonadota; Gammaproteobacteria; Enterobacterales; Enterobacteriaceae
Description: bacterial SSU rRNA
Rfam family: Bacterial small subunit ribosomal RNA
Source: RNAcentral